UGGGGAAUAUUGCACAAUGGGCGCAAGCCUGAUGCAGCCAUGCCGCGUGUGUGAAGAAGGCCUUCGGGUUGUAAAGCACUCUCAGCGGGGAGGAAGGCGAUAAGGUUAAUAACCUUGUCGAUUGACGUUACCCGCAGAAGAAGCACCGGCUAACUCCGUGCCAGCAGCCGCGGUAAUACGGAGGGUGCAAGCGUUAAUCGGAAUUACUGGGCGUAAAGCGCACGCAGGCGGUCUGUCAAGUCGGAUGUGAAAUCCCCGGGCUCAACCUGGGAACUGCAUUCGAAACUGGCAGGCUAGAGUCUUGUAGAGGGGGGUAGAAUUCCAGGUGUAGCGGUGAAAUGCGUAGAGAUCUGGAGGAAUACCGGUGGCGAAGGCGGCCCCCUGGACAAAGACUGACGCUCAGGUGCGAAAGCGUGGGGAGCAAACAGG
Molecule: ribosomal RNA, 429 nt
Filed under: Chloroflexota bacterium
Lineage: Bacteria; Bacillati; Chloroflexota
Description: Chloroflexi bacterium partial 16S ribosomal RNA
Rfam family: Bacterial small subunit ribosomal RNA
Source: RNAcentral